This 405-nucleotide ribosomal RNA is filed under the name uncultured bacterium. Its description in RNAcentral is "partial 16S ribosomal RNA". It matches the Rfam family "Bacterial small subunit ribosomal RNA", at positions 28 to 526 of the family's 1533-position model. The record is from RNAcentral.
GAUGAACGCUGGCGGCGUGCCUAAUACAUGCAAGUCGAGCGAAGCGGGGACGGGUGAGUAACACGUGGAUAACCUACUAUAAGACUGGGAUAACUUCGGGAAACCGGAGCUAAACCGGAUACUUAGAGAUGGAUCCGCGCUGCAUUAGCUAGGUGGUAAGGUAACGGCUUACCAAGGCAACGGUGCAUAGCCGACCUGAGCGCGUGUUCGGCCACCUGGGAACUGAGACACGGUCCAGACUCCUACGGUAGUCAGCAGUAGGGAAUCUUCCGCAAUGGGCGAAAGCCUGACGCAGCAACGCCGCGUGAGUUAUGAAGGUCUUCGGAUCGUAAAUCUCUGUUAUUGGGGAGGCGGUGCCUAAUCAGAAAGCCACGGCUCACUACGUGCCAGCAGCCGCGGUAAUAC